UCAACCCUCAAGCCUGGCUUGGUGAUGGGGCACUGCUUCUUACCCAAGAAGCAGGCCCUGAAAUUCAGUGGCGAGCUCGCCAGGACCCCGAGCGCAGUAGUUAAACCCUCGCUCUGGAAGGCCCUGGCGGUGCCCUGCCGUUAAACCCCCAACUUCUGAAAAUUUGACCUCGGA
RNAcentral lists this unclassified non-coding RNA (174 nucleotides) under Phomopsis sp. HND-Bd2. RNAcentral describes it as "partial ITS2". Lineage: Eukaryota; Fungi; Ascomycota; Sordariomycetes; Diaporthales; Diaporthaceae. The record is from RNAcentral.